ACGUCUCCUACCUCGCUCGAUCGAACGCAUUCAAUCGAUUGAUCUUGAGCUGGAUGCUAUCCCCACUCUCUGCACGCAGAGAGAUGGUCUGGCACGAGACGAGAGCAACCCCAUCACUCUUGCUGAUCUUUGAGUACGAUUCCAUCUCGCUCCAUACGGUGAUGUGUGUUGUAAUUUAUGCGGCAAGACAU
Molecule: small nucleolar RNA, 191 nt
Filed under: Rhinocladiella mackenziei CBS 650.93
Lineage: Eukaryota; Fungi; Ascomycota; Eurotiomycetes; Chaetothyriales; Herpotrichiellaceae
Source: RNAcentral